ACUCCUACGGGAGGCAGCAGUGGGGAAUAUUGCCACAAUGGGCGCAAGCCUGAUGCAGCCAUGCCGCGUGUGAUGAAGAAGGCCCUUCGGGGUUGUAAAGUACUUUCAGCAGUGAGGAAGGCGGGUACGUUAAUAGACGUGCUCCGUUUGACGUUAGCUGCAGAAGAAGCACCGGCUAACUCCGUGCCAGCAGCCGCGGUAAUACGGAGGGUGCGAGCGUUAAUCGGAAUUACUGGGCGUAAAGCGCAUGCAGGUGGUUUGUUAAGUCAGAUGUGAAAGCCCGGGGCUUAACCUCGGAAUAGCAUUUGAAACUGGC
Molecule: ribosomal RNA, 316 nt
Filed under: uncultured bacterium
Lineage: Bacteria
Description: bacterial SSU rRNA
Rfam family: Bacterial small subunit ribosomal RNA
Source: RNAcentral